UAAGAAUUUCAGCUUUGGGUGCUGA
RNAcentral lists this non-coding RNA (25 nucleotides) under Cricetulus griseus (Chinese hamster). Lineage: Eukaryota; Metazoa; Chordata; Mammalia; Rodentia; Cricetidae. The record is from RNAcentral.